AAUAUUAACAGUUAGGCCAUGUUCGUUUUCCUACAACAUACAUUGUUUGUUUGUCUGUCAGUGGAUUCAGCGACCAGUUACAGCGACAAUCGUUAAUAAUUGUCGUUGUGUUGUUCGUUUGACUGUCGCUCUAGACAGUCGCUAUAUGUUUAAAAAAUUUAAUUAUUUUUUGUGCUAAUUUAUAUUUUAAAA
This 192-nucleotide small RNA is filed under the name Arabidopsis thaliana (thale cress). RNAcentral's name for it is "ATSL029440". The record is from RNAcentral. Lineage: Eukaryota; Viridiplantae; Streptophyta; Magnoliopsida; Brassicales; Brassicaceae.